This 527-nucleotide ribosomal RNA is filed under the name uncultured bacterium. Its description in RNAcentral is "partial 16S ribosomal RNA". It matches the Rfam family "Bacterial small subunit ribosomal RNA", at positions 355 to 874 of the family's 1533-position model. The record is from RNAcentral.
UGGGGAAUUUUGGACAAUGGGCGAAAGCCUGAUCCAGCAAUGCCGCGUGUGUGAAGAAGGCCUUCGGGUUGUAAAGCACUUUUGUCCGGAAAGAAAUCCUUGGCUCUAAUACAGUCGGGGGAUGACGGUACCGGAAGAAUAAGCACCGGCUAACUACGUGCCAGCAGCCGCGGUAAUACGUAGGGUGCAAGCGUUAAUCGGAAUUACUGGGCGUAAAGCGUGCGCAGGCGGUUUGCUAAGACCGAUGUGAAAUCCCCGGGCUCAACCUGGGAACUGCAUUGGUGACUGGCAGGCUAGAGUAUGGCAGAGGGGGGUUAGAAUUCCACGUGUAGCAGUGAAAUGCGUAGAGAUGUGGAGGAAUACCGAUGGCGAAGGCAGCCCCCUGGGCCAAUACUGACGCUCAUGCACGAAAGCGUGGGGAGCAAACAGGAUUAGAUACCCUGGUAGUCCACGCCCUAAACGAUGUCAACUAGUUGUUGGGGAUUCAUUUCCUUAGUAACGUAGCUAACGCGUGAAGUUGACCGCCU